UGGGGAAUAUUGCACAAUGGGCGCAAGCCUGAUGCAGCCAUGCCGCGUGUAUGAAGAAGGCCUUCGGGUUGUAAAGUACUUUCAGCGAGGAGGAAGGCGUUGUGGUUAAUAACCGCAACGAUUGACGUUACUCGCAGAAGAAGCACCGGCUAACUCCGUGCCAGCAGCCGCGGUAAUACGGAGGGUGCAAGCGUUAAUCGGAAUUACUGGGCGUAAAGCGCACGCAGGCGGUCUGUCAAGUCGGAUGUGAAAUCCCCGGGCUCAACCUGGGAACUGCAUCCGAAACUGGCAGGCUAGAGUCUUGUAGAGGGGGGUAGAAUUCCAGGUGUAGCGGUGAAAUGCGUAGAGAUCUGGAGGAAUACCGGUGGCGAAGGCG
Molecule: ribosomal RNA, 376 nt
Filed under: uncultured bacterium
Lineage: Bacteria
Description: partial 16S ribosomal RNA
Rfam family: Bacterial small subunit ribosomal RNA
Source: RNAcentral